RNAcentral lists this ribosomal RNA (506 nucleotides) under uncultured bacterium. Its description in RNAcentral is "bacterial SSU rRNA". It matches the Rfam family "Bacterial small subunit ribosomal RNA", at positions 28 to 520 of the family's 1533-position model. The record is from RNAcentral.
GAUGAACGCUAGCUACAGGCUUAACACAUGCAAGUCGAGGGGAAACGAUAUUGGAAGCUUGCUUCCGAUAGGCGUCGACCGGCGCACGGGUGAGUAACGCGUAUCCAACCUGCCCACCACUUGGGGAUAACCUUGCGAAAGUAAGACUAAUACCCAAUGACGUCUCUAGAAGACAUCUGAAAGAGAUUAAAGAUUUAUCGGUGAUGGAUGGGGAUGCGUCUGAUUAGCUUGUUGGCGGGGUAACGGCCCACCAAGGCGACGAUCAGUAGGGGUUCUGAGAGGAAGGUCCCCCACAUUGGAACUGAGACACGGUCCAAACUCCUACGGGAGGCAGCAGUGAGGAAUAUUGGUCAAUGGGCGAGAGCCUGAACCAGCCAAGUAGCGUGCAGGAUGACGGCCCUAUGGGUUGUAAACUGCUUUUAUAAGGGAAUAAAGUGAGUCUCGUGAGACUUUUUGCAUGUACCUUAUGAAUAAGGACCGGCUAAUUCCGUGCCAGCAGCCGACGG